Molecule: long non-coding RNA, 544 nt
Filed under: Marmota monax (woodchuck)
Lineage: Eukaryota; Metazoa; Chordata; Mammalia; Rodentia; Sciuridae
Source: RNAcentral
GUUGUUUAUAUAUUCUAGAAAUUCUAGAUAUUACAAAUAUGAUUUUCAAAUAUUUUCUUCCAUCCUUUGGAUGAUCUUUUUACUUCUUCAUGGUAUUCAUUGAAGCACAAAAGUUAUUUUACCCACUGCUCUCUAUUUGUUUUUUACUCCCUAUCUCCUCUUAAUCAAUCCUAUAUACUGUUAGUUCUACACAAGGCUAAGAUAAAAGCUUCAUUAGUAUAGUGACAUUUAGCUGCUUUGAGAAAAAGCAGCAGCACCUGAAACAGUACCUGACACAUACUGUUCCAUUAAUAGAAAAUUUUGAGUAAAUGACUGCAUAUAUUAACAUGCACUCAAAUGUUUUCUGAGAAGAUACCUCAUCCUCUUAAAUAUGGAUGUUUGAAACAAGGGACGAUCCUGAUUCUCAGACUGGUAAGGAUCGAUCACAUCCUAGCUGUUCUUUAAUCUUGAGUACCUCAUCACCACCACCACCCCAAAAAAACAUUUAACCCAUUAGUUGUCAUUUCCCAUUUCCUCUCUACAACACCUCUGCCUCUCAGCCCUG